CGGGGUGAGGAACACGUGGGUGACCUACCUCGAAGUGAGGGAUACCGGCGAGAAAUCGCCGACAAUCCCGCAUAGGUUUCUUUCUUCGGUGGAAGAGGGAAACAAAGCUUUUUUUCGCGAGAAGAGGGGCGCUUUGAGAUGGGCCCGCGGCCGAUUAGCUAGUUGGUGGGGUAAAAGCCUACCAAGGCGUCGAUCGGUAGCUGGUCUGAGAGGACGAUCAGCCACACUGGGAUUGAGAACGGCCCAG
RNAcentral lists this ribosomal RNA (247 nucleotides) under uncultured bacterium. RNAcentral describes it as "partial 16S ribosomal RNA". It matches the Rfam family "Bacterial small subunit ribosomal RNA", at positions 104 to 334 of the family's 1533-position model. The record is from RNAcentral.